Molecule: ribosomal RNA, 406 nt
Filed under: uncultured bacterium
Lineage: Bacteria
Description: partial 16S ribosomal RNA
Rfam family: Bacterial small subunit ribosomal RNA
Source: RNAcentral
AUUGAACGCUGGCGGCAGGCUUAACACAUGCAAGUCGAACGAGUGGCGGACGGGUGAGUUAUGUCUGGGAAACUGCCUGAUGGUGGGGGAUAACUAUUGGAAACGGUAGCUAAUACCGCAUACCAUCGGAUGUGCCUAGAUGGGAUUAGCUAGUAGGUGGGGUAAAGGCUCACCUAGGCGACGAUCCCUAGCUGGUCCGAGAGGAUGACCAGCCACACUGGAAAUGAGACACGGUCCAGACUCCUACGGGAGGCAGCAGUGGGGAAUAUUGCACAAUGGACGCAAGCCUAAUGCAGCCAUGCCGCGUGUAUGAAGAAGGCCUUCGGGUUGUAAAGUACUUUCAGCGGGGAGGCGUUACCCGCAGAAGAAGCACCGGCUAACUCCGUGCCAGCAGCCGCGGUAAUUC